This is a long non-coding RNA of Rhododendron vialii, 698 nucleotides long. RefSeq lists it as uncharacterized. The transcript is spliced from 2 exons. The record is from RefSeq and is a predicted model, not a curated record. Lineage: Eukaryota; Viridiplantae; Streptophyta; Magnoliopsida; Ericales; Ericaceae.
GAGGAGAAGGAAAAUAAUGAGUUUUCGAAAAUAAUUUUUUAUUUUUUAUUUUUUGCCGGGUUUGAUUCAAACAAGGUUACACUUCAUCCACCUCUCUCCCCUCUUCCCAUAUCAACCGUGAUCAGCUGCAACCAAAACCACAGCAACCAACCAUUUUCUCGUGGCGUUGAAGUUACGGUUUUAUUCACGGCAUGGGAGACAUUAAAAGCUAAUUAACCUAGCUAAAGUACUGUAAGAGAGAGAAAGCCCUCUUCCCCUUUUCUUUCUUUUUCCUCUUCUGCCGCCCUCCGCCCUCCCCCCUCCUUGCUUCCCUCCACUCAGGCAGCCUCCACCUCUUAUCUCCCCCAUCUUCUUCCCUCCUCCUCCUUAAAGAGCUGCGAUCUCCCACUCUCCAUAUUAUUUUUGGACUCAAGAGUCAAAUCUAAAGUUCUAGAUCUGGUUUCUUGGAACCAGUUUAGUGACGGCGGUGGCGGCAUCUGCAUCGAGUCAUCCAGGAGAGUUUGCUCUGUGUCCAUACUCGGUCACUCCAGACUUGGCCACUUCAACCCCAGUGUGAUCGACGGAUCCGACUCCAACUUCGGAGUCUUGGUUCCAGACAGCUUUUCUUUUUAUUUUGUUCGAUCUUUUUGUUUUGUUUUGUUUGUUUGUUUAUUUUGUUUUGUUUGUCAUUUUUUCUAUAUUUCCAGACCGGUAAUGUC